CGUGAACCUUUACUAUAGCUUGACACUGAACAUUGAGCCUUGAUGUGUAGGAUAGGUGGGAGGCUUUGAAGUGUGGACGCCAGUCUGCAUGGAGCCGACCUUGAAUACCACCCUUUAAUGUUUGAUGUUCUAACGUUGGCCCGUUAUCCGGGUUGCGGACAGUGUCUGGUGGGUAGUUUGACUGGGGCGGUCUCCUCCUAAA
This 202-nucleotide ribosomal RNA is filed under the name Escherichia coli. RNAcentral describes it as "partial 23S ribosomal RNA". It matches the Rfam family "Bacterial large subunit ribosomal RNA", at positions 2092 to 2294 of the family's 2925-position model. Lineage: Bacteria; Pseudomonadati; Pseudomonadota; Gammaproteobacteria; Enterobacterales; Enterobacteriaceae. The record is from RNAcentral.